Molecule: ribosomal RNA, 138 nt
Filed under: uncultured eukaryote
Lineage: Eukaryota
Description: partial 18S ribosomal RNA
Rfam family: Eukaryotic small subunit ribosomal RNA
Source: RNAcentral
UGGUGGAGUGAUUUGUCUGGUUAAUUCCGUUAACGAACGAGACCUUAACCUGCUAAAUAGUUACGUUAACUUUGGUUGACGGCUAACUUCUUAGAGGGACUAUGGAUGUUUAAUCCAUAGAAGUUUGAGGCAAUAACA